This 461-nucleotide ribosomal RNA is filed under the name uncultured bacterium. RNAcentral describes it as "bacterial SSU rRNA". It matches the Rfam family "Bacterial small subunit ribosomal RNA", at positions 29 to 478 of the family's 1533-position model. The record is from RNAcentral.
AACGAACGCUGGCGGCGUGGCUAAGACAUGCAAGUCGAACGGACUGUCCAAUUUAUUGAACAGUUAGUGGCGAAAGGGUUAGUAACGGAUGGGUAACGUACCCUGUGCUUUGGGAUAGCGUCAGUUACUUCGGUAACUUUCCGAAAGGGGCGGUAAUACCAAAUAAUAUCAUUUGUCGAUAGGCAGAUGAUCAAAGAUUUAUCGGCACGGGAGCGGCCUGUCUCCUAUCAGCUUGUUGGUGAGGUAAUGGCUCACCAAGGCAUCGACGGGUAGCGGGACUGAGAGGUUGACCCGCAACAUCGGGACUGAGACACUGCCCGGACCUCCACGGAGGGCUGCAGUAACGGAUAUUGUGCAAUGGGCGAAAGCCUGACACAGCGACGCCGCGUGUAGGAGGAAGUCUUUCGGGAUGUAAACUACUGUCAGGGGGAAGAAAGUGCGCUUCGGCGUAUUGAUCUAAC